RNAcentral lists this ribosomal RNA (149 nucleotides) under uncultured bacterium. RNAcentral's name for it is "partial 16S rRNA". It matches the Rfam family "Bacterial small subunit ribosomal RNA", at positions 355 to 501 of the family's 1533-position model. The record is from RNAcentral.
UGAGGAAUAUUGGUCAAUGGGCGAGAGCCUGAACCAGCCAAGUAGCGUGAAGGAUGACUGCCCUAUGGGUUGUAAACUUCUUUUAUAAAGGAAUAAAGUCGGGUAUGGAUACCCGUUUGCAUGUACUUUAUGAAUAAGGAUCGGCUAAC